UACGAAGGGGGCUAGCGUUGUUCGGAAUUACUGGGCGUAAAGCGCGCGCAGGCGGCCUGACAAGUCAGGGGUGAAAGCCCAGAGCUCAACUCUGGAACUGCCUUUGAAACUUUUAGGCUAGAGGACGGGAGAGGUGAGUGGAAUUCCCAGUGUAGAGGUGAAAUUCGUAGAUAUUGGGAAGAACACCGGUGGCGAAGGCGGCUCACUGGCCCGUUUCUGACGCUCAGGCGCGACAGCGUGGGGAUCAAACAG
Molecule: ribosomal RNA, 252 nt
Filed under: uncultured bacterium
Lineage: Bacteria
Description: partial 16S ribosomal RNA
Rfam family: Bacterial small subunit ribosomal RNA
Source: RNAcentral